GACGAACGCUGGCGGCGUGCCUAAUACAUGCAAGUAGAACGCUGAAGCGAGGAGCUUACUCUUCUUGGAUGAGUUGCGAACGGGUGAGUAACGCGUAGGUAACCUGCCUUGUAGCGGGGGAUAACUAUUGGAAACGAUAGCUAAUACCGCAUAACAAUGGAUGACACAUGUCAUUUAUUUGAAAGGGGCAAUUGCUCCACUACAAGAUGGACCUGCGUUGUAUUAGCUAGUAGGUGAGGUAAUGGCUCACCUAGGCGGCGAUACAUAGCCCGCCGUAGAGGGGGAAUGGCCAACACGGGACUGGGACACGGCCCAGACUCCCUAGGGAGGGAGCAGGAGGGAAACCUGGGGAAUGGGGGGAAAGCUGAACGGGGAACGGCGCGUGAGGGAAGGAGGGUUUCGGAUCGGAAAGCUCUGUUGUAAGUCAAGAAAGGGUGGGGGAGUGGAAAGUGCACACUGUGACGGUAGCUUACCAGAAAGAGACGGCUAACUACGUG
Molecule: ribosomal RNA, 497 nt
Filed under: uncultured bacterium
Lineage: Bacteria
Description: partial 16S ribosomal RNA
Rfam family: Bacterial small subunit ribosomal RNA
Source: RNAcentral